This is a small nucleolar RNA of Anguilla anguilla (European eel), 71 nucleotides long. RefSeq annotates it as small nucleolar RNA R38. Lineage: Eukaryota; Metazoa; Chordata; Actinopteri; Anguilliformes; Anguillidae. The record is from RefSeq and is a predicted model, not a curated record. The transcript has a single exon.
ACAAGCCUGUGAUGAUAUGAAGUUAUCCCUGUCUGAAUGUCUCUGUGGACUCUUGGUAUUCUGAGGCUUGU